GUGGGGAAUUUUGGACAAUGGGCGCAAGCCUGAUCCAGCCAUGCCGCGUGUCUGAAGAAGGCCUUCGGGUUGUAAAGGACUUUUGUCAGGGAAGAAAAGGGCGGGGUUAAUACCCCUGUCUGAUGACGGUACCUGAAGAAUAAGCACCGGCUAACUACGUGCCAGCAGCCGCGGUAAUACGUAGGGUGCGAGCGUUAAUCGGAAUUACUGGGCGUAAAGCGGGCGCAGACGGUUACUUAAGCAGGAUGUGAAAUCCCCGGGCUCAACCUGGGAACUGCGUUCUGAACUGGGUGACUAGAGUGUGUCAGAGGGAGGUAGAAUUCCACGUGUAGCAGUGAAAUGCGUAGAGAUGUGGAGGAAUACCGAUGGCGAAGGCAGCCUCCUGGGAUAACACUGACGUUCAUGCCCGAAAGCGUGGGUAGCAAACAGGAUUAGAUACCCUGGUAGUCCACGCCCUAAACGAUGUCGAUUAGCUGUUGGGCAGCAUGACUGCUUAGUAGCGAAGCUAACGCGUGAAAUCGACCGCCUGGGGAGUACGGUCGCAAGAUUA
This 550-nucleotide ribosomal RNA is filed under the name uncultured bacterium. RNAcentral describes it as "bacterial SSU rRNA". It matches the Rfam family "Bacterial small subunit ribosomal RNA", at positions 354 to 896 of the family's 1533-position model. The record is from RNAcentral.